This 235-nucleotide ribosomal RNA is filed under the name uncultured Smithella sp. RNAcentral's name for it is "partial 16S ribosomal RNA". It matches the Rfam family "Bacterial small subunit ribosomal RNA", at positions 1147 to 1382 of the family's 1533-position model. Lineage: Bacteria; Pseudomonadati; Thermodesulfobacteriota; Syntrophia; Syntrophales; Smithellaceae. The record is from RNAcentral.
GACUGCCGGUGUUAAACCGGAGGAAGGUGGGGAUGACGUCAAGUCCUCAUGGCCUUAUGCUUAGGGCUACACACGUGCUACAAUGGGUGGUACAAAGAGAAGCCAACUCGCGAGAGCGCGCCAAUCUCAAAAAGCCAUCCUCAGUUCGGAUUGGAGUCUGCAACUCGACUCCAUGAAGUUGGAAUCGCUAGUAAUCGCAGAUCAGCACGCUGCGGUGAAUACGUUCCCGGGCCUU